RNAcentral lists this ribosomal RNA (492 nucleotides) under uncultured bacterium. RNAcentral's name for it is "partial 16S ribosomal RNA". It matches the Rfam family "Bacterial small subunit ribosomal RNA", at positions 29 to 507 of the family's 1533-position model. The record is from RNAcentral.
AGUGAACGCUGGCGGUAGGCCUAACACAUGCAAGUCGAACGGCAGCACAGUAAGAGCUUGCUCUUACGGGUGGCGAGUGGCGGACGGGUGAGGAAUACAUCGGAAUCUACUUUUUCGUGGGGGAUAACGUAGGGAAACUUACGCUAAUACCGCAUACGACCUACGGGUGAAAGCAGGGGAUCUUCGGACCUUGCGCGAUUGAAUGAGCCGAUGUCGGAUUAGCUAGUUGGCGGGGUAAAGGCCCACCAAGGCGACGAUCCGUAGCUGGUCUGAGAGGAUGAUCAGCCCCACUGGAACUGGGACACGGUCCAGACUCCUACGGGAGGCAGCAGUGGGGAAUAUUGGACAAUGGGCGCAAGCCUGAUCCAGCCAUACCGCGUGGGUGAAGAAGGCCUUCGGGUUGUAAAGCCCUUUUGUUGGGAAAGAAAAGCAGCAGGUUAAUACCCCGCUGUUCUGACGGUACCCAAAGAAUAAGCACCGGCUAACCUCGUG